RNAcentral lists this ribosomal RNA (372 nucleotides) under uncultured organism. Its description in RNAcentral is "bacterial SSU rRNA". It matches the Rfam family "Bacterial small subunit ribosomal RNA", at positions 526 to 896 of the family's 1533-position model. The record is from RNAcentral.
CAGAGGUCUCAACCGUUGUUCGGAUUCAUUGGGCGUAAAGGGUGCGUAGGCGGCGGAGUAAGUCAGGUGUGAAAUCUCGGGGCUCAACCCCGAAACUGCACUUGAUACUGCUUCGCUCGAGUACUGGAGAGGAGACUGGAAUUUACGGUGUAGCAGUGAAAUGCGUAGAUAUCGUAAGGAAGACCAGUGGCGAAGGCGAGUCUCUGGACAGUUACUGACGCUGAGGCACGAAGGCCAGGGGAGCAAACGGGAUUAGAUACCCCGGUAGUCCUGGCAGUAAACGGUGCACGUUUGGUGUGGGAGGAUUCGACCCCUUCCGUGCCGGAGCUAACGCGUUAAACGUGCCGCCUGGGAAGUACGGUCGCAAGAUUA